Trifolium pratense (red clover) is the source of this 1848-nucleotide long non-coding RNA. RefSeq lists it as uncharacterized. NCBI's taxonomy places the organism in Eukaryota, Viridiplantae, Streptophyta, Magnoliopsida, Fabales, Fabaceae. The record is from RefSeq and is a predicted model, not a curated record. The transcript has 8 exons.
AAAUAAAAGCAAACACAAACAGAACCCAGUACCCUUCGCCAUCUCUUCUUUCUCUGCAAACGCCUUCUCUCACUACGAACCAAGAAAUCCUUCACUGGGAAACCCCUCGAUUCCUUCUCUUCACUGAAAACCCAGAAAUCCUUCGUCACUGGCAACCCUAACUUCAUAUUACAUGCAAAAUUAACACAUGCACUAUGAGAUGGUUAAGUGGCAAUGUCUAGAGUUACUAUGAGGAAGUUUGAAAAAACAAAGUAAAGGUGAUUUUCUGCCUCCAAAUCAUUGCUACACAUAGUUUCCUUCUCCUUUGAUUUGCACCCAACUUUCCUCCGCCGCUGUAUUUCCCUUCUCACUGUAAGGGUUCGCCGUAUAAAGGCCUCCCCUGUCGUCGACAUUGAAAUUGGUGCCUUUGUUUUGUUUCUUCAACUUCACUUCGCCGUAUUUCACCUUUUCUAGGGUCCGCUAUAUCAAGGUAAUAUCUCUGGUGGUUCACCGUAUUUCACUUCACCGUAGUUAUGUUAUUCCCCUGCUAUUGCAUCUUUCUAUAUGUGUGGUUUAAUGUUAUUAAUCCAAAAUGUUGUGGUUUCUAUUUAAGCUAAGAAGGUUGACGGAUUUUUAAUGUCAUCAAUCCUUGUUUUAUGUUGAUUUAAUUGCUAUCUUCUUCUUAGUUUAAAGGAAUUGUUUCCGCUUUUGAACUUUUAUUUUUCCUAAUCAUAUAUCAGUAGCCACCAUAUUAAUUUAGUGAUGAUGAUUUAUUGUAAAAUUGUGAACAUCAUUUUGAUGUCUAGAAUCUGGAUACAUGAGAAGGAUCAUACAGUAUGUUACUAAUGUGUCAAAAUCCUUGUUCCUAUAGAAUUUUCACCUCGUGACACUCCUACUGGACUUGAUGCUAGAGACCAAUAUGUUCUUCAACUUGGUAGGUUGAUUGAUGCUCUAUAACACUAACACAUUUCUAGGAGGAAGCUGAUCUACAACUAGCUGGUGAGCUUCAAAGAAGCAACACCAACAACCACUUUUCACUGGAAGUUCAAUUCCUUCUCCUACUCAAUUGAGCCUCUAACAUAAAUAUUCAAUUUGUUUGUGUAGAGUGAUGGUAUUAAUUAAUGAUUAUGGAAAACUGAAAUAUCUUGGGUUUGUGGACUCUCAUUUAUGUAUUACUGUGGAAUUCAUGUAAUUGUGCAUACCACUCUACCUACUUGGAUUUAAAGCAUAAUUGAAUGACCAUUCUUUGUACCAAACAUGAUGUAAAUUUAUCUCAUUGAACUAAGAUAAUAGUCAUUGGUCAAACAUAAAUUAGAUUUUCAUAGUUGUGCUUGAGGUGCUGGAUGAUUUGGAUUCCUUAGUCAGAGAGUUGGUCUGUCAUUGGUAGUUGAAAUACUCAGAAACCAGGACAUUUUCUUAUGAAGGGCUAAACUUGUCAUUCUCAAGCAUGGUUGAUCUAUUCAUGGGUUCCAAAUGUCAUUGAUGCCAAGAAGUUUUGUAACAUUGUUGAUAGUGGCAUGUGUUAAGAGACAAGGAUUCUCAGGUUGAGGAUCCCGAUCAGAGUUAGAGGAUUGCUCGUGCUCGUGGUAGUGCGCUUUUUGGUGAGGAGUUUAGCUUAGACUACUCCUUAGAUAUAUUUUGUAUAUCUUUUUGACUGGGUUGUAUAGAAUUGCUCUGAUUAGGUAUUUACCGGGUCGGGUUAUUUGUUUGAAUUGUAUUAAGCCCGUGAUGGCGUAUUUGACCUUGCUAAUCCUUUACUUUUUGUUGUAAACAUAAUAUCCUUGUUGUUGAUAUGGCCUAGAGCCUACGGAUAUUAUGUGAACAAUUUGGAUAUUAUAUGAUAUGCACUAUGAUAAAUAUCGCUUUUAA